AGCAACGGAUCUCUUGGCUCUCGCAUCGAUGAAGAACGCAGCGAAAUGCGAUAAGUAAUGUGAAUUGCAGAAUUCAGUGAAUCAUCGAAUCUUUGAACGCACCUUGCGCUCCUUGGUAUUCCGAGGAGCAUGCCUGUUUGAGUGUCAUUAAU
This 152-nucleotide ribosomal RNA is filed under the name Cortinarius pardinipes. RNAcentral's name for it is "5.8S ribosomal RNA". It matches the Rfam family "5.8S ribosomal RNA". From Rfam's summary of the family: 5.8S ribosomal RNA (5.8S rRNA) is a component of the large subunit of the eukaryotic ribosome. It is transcribed by RNA polymerase I as part of the 45S precursor that also contains 18S and 28S rRNA. Lineage: Eukaryota; Fungi; Basidiomycota; Agaricomycetes; Agaricales; Cortinariaceae. The record is from RNAcentral.